RNAcentral lists this ribosomal RNA (356 nucleotides) under Escherichia coli. Its description in RNAcentral is "partial 23S ribosomal RNA". It matches the Rfam family "Bacterial large subunit ribosomal RNA", at positions 1 to 393 of the family's 2925-position model. Lineage: Bacteria; Pseudomonadati; Pseudomonadota; Gammaproteobacteria; Enterobacterales; Enterobacteriaceae. The record is from RNAcentral.
GGUUAAGCGACUAAGCGUACACGGUGGAUGCCCUGGCAGUCAGAGGCGAUGAAGGACGUGCUAAUCUGCGAUAAGCGUCGGUAAGGUGAUAUGAACCGUUAUAACCGGCGAUUUCCGAAUGGGGAAACCCAGUGUGAUUCGUCACACUAUCAUUAACUGAAUCCAUAGGUUAAUGAGGCGAACCGGGGGAACUGAAACAUCUAAGUACCCCGAGGAAAAGAAAUCAACCGAGAUUCCCCCAGUAGCGGCGAGCGAACGGGGAGCAGCCCAGAGCCUGAAUCAGUGUGUGUGUUAGUGGAAGCGUCUGGAAAGGCGCGCGAUACAGGGUGACAGCCCCGUACACAAAAAUGCACAUG